AGUUGAUUUGACGACGGAACAAGCCACCGCCGGGAAAGAAACAGAAGGAUCUGAUGAUUCCGCCGGGAAAGAAACAGUAGGAUCUGAUGAUUCUGGGAAGGAGAGUGCAGAUCUGGUUGUUGAGAAGAAGUCUAAUGAUUCUGGGAGUGAGGUUCAGGAUGAUGAUGAAGAAGGAGACGAUGAUGAUGCUGGGGCUAAGAAAAGAAGAAGGUAUAUCUAAUUUACUCUUUUCGAAAGUACUUUGAAAAAUUAGGGUUUUAGUAUUGAUUUUGGAUUUGUGUGUUUUGUAUUGAUUGCCUUUAGAUUGAGAACAAAGCUUAGAUACGUAUCUGUGACAUUGAAGAUAUGAUGAUGAGAAUGUUUAAAGUGUAUUAUAUAACUCAUUCGUUAUGUUGUUUUAAGAGUUCAAAUUCCUGAGCAAAUUGUAUGUAUGUAUGUA
This 439-nucleotide long non-coding RNA is filed under the name Capsella grandiflora. Its description in RNAcentral is "long non-coding RNA (CGRA_LNC000934)". Lineage: Eukaryota; Viridiplantae; Streptophyta; Magnoliopsida; Brassicales; Brassicaceae. The record is from RNAcentral.